AUUGAACGCCAGCGGAAUGCUUUACACAUGCAAGUCGAACGGCAGCACGGAGAGCUUGCUCUCUGGUGGCGAGUGGCGAACGGGUGAGUAAUGUAUCGGAACAUACCCAGUAGCGGGGGAUAACUACUCGAAAGAGUGGCUAAUACCGCAUACGCACUACGGGGGAAAGGGGGGGAGCUUAGGACCUCUCACUAUUGGACUGGCCGAUAUCGGAUUAGCUAGUUGGUGGGGUAAAGGCUCACCAAGGCGACGAUCCGUAGCUGGUUUGAGAGGACGACCAGCCACACUGGGACUGAGACACGGCCCAGACUCCUACGGGAGGCAGCAGUGGGGAAUUUUGGACAAUGGGCGAAAGCCUGAUCCAGCCAUUCCGCGUGUGUGAUGAAGGCCUUCGGGUUGUAAAGCACUUUUGUCAGGGAAGAAACAGCGAUGAAUAAUACUUGUCGCGAAUGACGGUACCUGAAGAAUAAGCACCGGCUAACUACGUGCCAGCAGCCGCCGUAA
Molecule: ribosomal RNA, 504 nt
Filed under: uncultured bacterium
Lineage: Bacteria
Description: partial 16S ribosomal RNA
Rfam family: Bacterial small subunit ribosomal RNA
Source: RNAcentral